GACGAACGCUGGCGGCGUGCUUAACACAUGCAAGUCGAACGGACAGGCCCUGCUUUUGUGGGGUGCUCGAGUGGCGAACGGGUGAGUAACACGUGAGUAAAAUGCCCUUGACUUUGGGAUAACUUCAGGAAACUGGGGAUAAUACCGGAUAGGAGCUCCUGCUGCAUGGUGGGGGUUGGAAAGUUUCGGCUGUUGUGGAUGGACUCGCGGCUUAUCAGCUUCUUUGUGGGGUAGUGGCUUACCAAGGCUUUGACGGGUAGCCGGCCUGAGAGGGGUGCCGGCCACCUUGGGACUGAGGUACGGCCCAGCCUCCUACGUGAGGCAGCAGUGGGGAAUAUUGCACAAUGGGCGGAAGCCUGAUGCAGCAACGCCGCGUGCGGGAUGACGGCCUUCGGGUUGUAAACCGCUUUCGCCUGUGACGAAGCGUGAGUGACGGUAAUGGGUAAAGAAGCACCGGCUAACUACGUG
RNAcentral lists this ribosomal RNA (468 nucleotides) under uncultured bacterium. RNAcentral describes it as "partial 16S ribosomal RNA". It matches the Rfam family "Bacterial small subunit ribosomal RNA", at positions 28 to 507 of the family's 1533-position model. The record is from RNAcentral.